RNAcentral lists this ribosomal RNA (485 nucleotides) under uncultured bacterium. RNAcentral's name for it is "bacterial SSU rRNA". It matches the Rfam family "Bacterial small subunit ribosomal RNA", at positions 32 to 507 of the family's 1533-position model. The record is from RNAcentral.
AACGCUAGCGACAGGCUUAACACAUGCAAGGUCGAGGGGUAACGAGGGCGAGCAAUACCGCUGACGACCGGCGCACGGGUGAGUAACGCGUAUGCAACCUGCCUAUAACUGGGGAAUAGCUCCCUGAAAGGGGAAUUAACACCGCAUAACACUAUUGAUUCGCAUGGAUUGGUAGUUAAAUGUAGCGAUACAGGUUAUAGAUGGGCAUGCGUGACAUUAGCUAGUUGGUGAGGUAACGGCUCACCAAGGCUACGAUGUCUAGGGGUUCUGAGAGGAAGGUCCCCCACACUGGUACUGAGACACGGACCAGACUCCUACGGGAGGCAGCAGUGAGGAAUAUUGGUCAAUGGGCGCAAGCCUGAACCAGCCAUGUCGCGUGCAGGAAGACUGCCCUAUGGGUUGUAAACUGCUUUUAUAGUAGAAGAAACACAUCUACGUGUAGAUGUCUGCCAGUAUACUAUGAAUAAGCAUCGGCUAACUCCGUG